RNAcentral lists this ribosomal RNA (387 nucleotides) under uncultured bacterium. RNAcentral's name for it is "bacterial SSU rRNA". It matches the Rfam family "Bacterial small subunit ribosomal RNA", at positions 29 to 407 of the family's 1533-position model. The record is from RNAcentral.
AACGAACGCUGGCGGCGCGCCUAACACAUGCAAGUCGAACGAGAAGGCGUAGCAAUACGCUUGUAGAGUGGCGAACGGGUGAGUAAUACGUGGGUGACCUACCCUCGAGUGGGGAAUAACCCGCCGAAAGGCGGGCUAAUGCCGCGUACGCUUCCGUCCUCACGGGGACGGAAGGAAAGCUGUACCGUGGGUACGGCGCUCAAGGAUGGGCUCACGUCCUAUCAGCUUGUUGGUAGGGUAACGGCCACCAAGGCUACGACGGGUAGCUGGUCUGAGAGGACGAUCAGCCACACUGGCACUGCGACACGGGCCAGACUCCUACGGGAGGCAGCAGUGAGGAAUAUUGCGCAAUGGGCGAAAGCCUGACGCAGCGACGCCGCGUGGGGA